ACCCUAAAAUUACUUUAGUAUAUUUUACUUCCAAUAAAAUCGAAAGGGGUA
RNAcentral lists this transfer RNA (51 nucleotides) under Pseudogarypus banksi. Its description in RNAcentral is "tRNA-Gly". The record is from RNAcentral. Lineage: Eukaryota; Metazoa; Arthropoda; Arachnida; Pseudoscorpiones; Pseudogarypidae.